This 652-nucleotide long non-coding RNA is filed under the name Sinocyclocheilus grahami. RNAcentral's name for it is "lncRNA (ENSSGRG00000047745.1)". Lineage: Eukaryota; Metazoa; Chordata; Actinopteri; Cypriniformes; Cyprinidae. The record is from RNAcentral.
AAAUUUACCAGACCGUAUAACUACUGCAGAAGAAGAACUGCAUAACGCAACGCAUUCUUUCCAAAAGCUGAGCCUGCGUUUCUGAGAAAUCUGAAAUCUUUCAUUAAGAAGACAUCAGGUUUUAUUCAAGUUUAGUAACAGUCUUGUGCAGUUUUGCCACAUCCUCUGCAAAGGGUACUAUAACUCUGGGAUUAAGCCAGCUGGUGGCUGACUGCUGUGGUUCUGUAGCUUACAAUCCACUUAAUGAGAUUUGCUGUGAUGGCAGGAUUCUGACUCGAAGCAGCACUUACGCGAAAUGCUGUAGCAGAGACGUGUACUUGACAACCACUCAUUUGUGUUGUGGUAAAAACAACAUAUUUCAACGGAAGGAAAAUCAUUCUUGUUGUGGCAAUGAAACAUAUGACAUGACAACCCACUGCUGCUGUACUAACCCUGCACUAGAAGUAAAGCCUAAAAAUGAAACUUGCUGUUCAAAAGCAACAGAUUCUCGUAAAAAAGCAGAAAGCCAGCAAGGUUCUCCUCCCACCCGGUGAGUCACAAAGACAGACAAAAAUACUUCCUAGAGACAACAUAAGUAUAGGCAGUAUUACAGUAUUUAAAUUAUAUGCAGUAGCACAGACCUCCGGGGGUCUCACACAUUUUUUAAUCCCAC